This 2265-nucleotide ribosomal RNA is filed under the name Triticum aestivum (bread wheat). RNAcentral's name for it is "partial small subunit ribosomal RNA". The record is from RNAcentral. Lineage: Eukaryota; Viridiplantae; Streptophyta; Magnoliopsida; Poales; Poaceae.
AUGGGGCACGACUCCGGUCUGAAGCGCCAGUCCCAUUCCAGGCUCAGGCCAGUUCCUGAGCUCCCGCAAACACCUUGCCGUCCUCACGGAGAAAAUGACAGAAGAUACAGCCAGCUGAAAUGCUCGGACGGCGGCGACUCAGGGGAGCUCCGCCUGGGAGUGGGCGGCCACAUACCCAAUUUCCACUGCAAGAGCCUGCCCACCAGAAGCCGGCUGACCAAUGCGGAGGAAAUCGCCGUCGCCAAGCGCGGCUCCAUGUACCAGAGCUCCAGCGAGAUCACCAGGAUAAGGAGGCUCCAGGAGGAGGGCAGGAGGAAGAUCGACUCCGCGCCCAGCGGGGACGAGUUCCUCUCCUUCGACAUUGUCGACGACGGCGAGGCCUCCUCCCGGCCGAGCACCAGCGGGAGCGGGGCGCAGUACCUCUUCUCCCACCGCAGCCGGCGGUCGGAGGCCGCCAAGUCCUCCGUGGAGACCCGGAGGGUGAACCGGGCGUCCACCAAGGACUUUCUCGACUUGUCCUUUCGUGAGCUGCCCGAUGAAGAUUUUAAGCUUGGCCGGCCGCGGAUGGACUGCACCCUGCUGAAGAGCGAUGAUGCCGCUGAUGGUUUCUUGGAGAUAACCAUUGAGGAAGAGGAGUCCACAGCAAGAGCCCCCUGCAGAAAUGCAGCUCCCCAUUUGCUGGAUGGAGAGUCUGCUAGAGGUGCAGAAGCAGAUCGUCAGCUCAACUCCGGUGUAUGUCCUGGUGAAAGUAACCACCAUGGUGAGAAGCAGAGGGUUCCAGCAAGUAAUAUUCCUGAUAAGUCUGUGCCAGCAAAGGGGGAGAGCGCCCCUGAUGACACCAGUCCAUCAGAAUGUGUCAAUCGCAGCACGGAGAACAUCGCUAAAUCUGCUCGAUCAAGUCCUUUCAAGAAGAUGCUGAGCCCGAUCAUGAAGUCCAAGUCUGUUAGAAGCAGCCCAACUCUUGUUGACAAGGAAGACCCCAACUCUGCUGCUGUGCCGGCAAGCGGCAAAACCUGCGUCCGCAAAUCGUUGCUCAGUGAUCUCUCAAGGACUGAGCGGAGCCAAGGAUCGCCCAAUUGCCAGCCAAACGGAGAAAGUCGGCAUAUGACGGAGGCUUCUUUGUCACCUGCUCAUCUUCGAGCAGUUCUUAAAAUUGAUUCCAGAAAUGGUAUUCCCUUUUAUGACUUCUGUGUCGAGGGCCCGGAAGAAUCCAUUUCUGCUAGGUCCUGGGAGAGUGGGAGUGAACUGAGCCGGAUUUACACUUUCCAUAGCGGUGGCAAACGAGGAAGCACUGCUGGGAGGUCAUCCAAAGACGAACGCAGAUGCUUGCCUCCAACUGUAGGCCAGAUGCACGCUUCGUCCUAUCUUUGCUCUGAAGUUGGAAAAGAUGGUGUUCUGAAUAAUUCUGUCAACACCGAGUUUGUUCUGUACGAUACCGCUCACGCAAGACGAAGUUUUGCUGCCGAGGAGAAGACCCAGAGUACAGAGCCCAGUCAGCCGAAAUCCUGCGUUGAUAAAUCGGUCUCUGGUGAAUAUCCACAGAAGAUUAAUCUGAUUGACCAUCAACAUGAUGCAAGGAAUAAUCCAGAGGUAUCGACAUCUCGUCCAUGGUCUGAAGAGGAUCUUUAUCCUCAUUUGGAGAUUGCAGCAACAGUCAUUCAGAUUCCAUUUAAUAAGGACAAGAAGUGUUCGUCCGCUGGUUCUAUCAAAGUGGUCACCCCGAGUGGGCUGCAUGGAUUACCAGACGACAAUGAAGUCAGCCCAUCAUCCUUGCUAGACAGAUGGAGGUAUGGUGGAGGGUGUGAUUGUGGCGGAUGGGACAUGGCCUGUCCACUCCUCGUCCUCGAGAAUGCUGCUUAUGAUGAUAACUGGGUUGAUUCUGUGACGAAGGAAAGCAAACACCCCAUGGAGCUCCUUGUUCAGGGUAGCAAAGAAGAGAUCCCUGCCCUUUCCAUGAAAGCCGACGGGAAAGGGCAGCUGUUGGUGGAUUUCCAUGCGCGGCUAUCAGCGUUACAGGCAUUCUCAGUGUGCAUCUCUCUGCUGCACUGCUCAGAGGCUUCGACGGCCGUCGUCAUCGAGAAGGGCAAGCACAAGCUCUACUCCAGCUCCCUCAAGAUGCUCCUUGAGGGGGAGGUGAUGCAGCUGAUCGAGGCUGUCACGGCAGAGGAGAAGAAGAAACUGAAGUCGACGAAGCGGGAGAAGGCGCCUCCGUCUGUCGUGUUCGACCCGCGGCGCCCGCCCUUCUCCCCCCUGGGAAGAGUAUAG